This 487-nucleotide ribosomal RNA is filed under the name uncultured bacterium. Its description in RNAcentral is "partial 16S ribosomal RNA". It matches the Rfam family "Bacterial small subunit ribosomal RNA", at positions 28 to 507 of the family's 1533-position model. The record is from RNAcentral.
GAUGAACGCUAGCGAUAGGCUUAACACAUGCAAGUCGAGGGGCAGCACAAGGUAGCUUGCUCUCUGGGUGGCGACCGGCGCACGGGUGCGUAACGCGUAUGCAACUUGCCCUAUACAGGAGGAUAACCCGUCGAAAGACGGACUAAUACUGCGUAUGCUCACAACUUGGCAUCAAGUGGUGAGGAAAGAAAUUCGGUAUAGGAUAGGCAUGCGUCCCAUUAGCUUGUUGGUGAGGUAACGGCUCACCAAGGCAACGAUGGGUAGGGGAACUGAGAGGUUUAUCCCCCACACUGGUACUGAGACACGGACCAGACUCCUACGGGAGGCAGCAGUGAGGAAUAUUGGUCAAUGGGCGCGAGCCUGAACCAGCCAAGUCGCGUGAAGGAUGACUGUCUUAUGGAUUGUAAACUUCUUUUAUACGGGAAUAACAAGAGUCACGGGUGACUCCCUGCAUGUACCGGAUGAAUAAGCAUCGGCUAACUCCGUG